This 219-nucleotide long non-coding RNA is filed under the name Malus domestica (apple). RNAcentral's name for it is "long non-coding RNA (MDOM_LNC018732)". The record is from RNAcentral. Lineage: Eukaryota; Viridiplantae; Streptophyta; Magnoliopsida; Rosales; Rosaceae.
CGACCAAUUGUCUCGGAGAAGAUCCAAAUCCAAUAAAGCUUCCAAAAAUCUCUCUCCCACCUCGAGCCCAGCGCCACCCUGCUUUCUUCUCUUGCAUACUCAAACCUAGCCGCUCCACCUCUCUUUAUAAAAGAAUAGCAAUCAAACCCUUCCAAUCCGAUUCGACCAUAACUGUGUAACAAUGGUGAAGGAGGAGAAAUGUCUAAAAAAGGAUUGGCU